UACAGGGGGUGCAAACGUUGCUCGGAAUUAUUGGGCGUAAAGCGCACGUAGGCGGCUUUCUAAGUCAGGGGUGAAAUCCUGGAGCUCAACUCCAGAACUGCCUUUGAUACUGGAGAGCUAGAGUCCGGAAGAGGUGAGUGGAACUGCGAGUGUAGAGGUGAAAUUCGUAGAUAUUCGCAAGAACACCAGUGGCGAAGGCGGCUCACUGGUCCGGUACUGACGCUGAGGUGCGAAAGCGUGGGGAGCAAACAGG
Molecule: ribosomal RNA, 253 nt
Filed under: uncultured bacterium
Lineage: Bacteria
Description: partial 16S ribosomal RNA
Rfam family: Bacterial small subunit ribosomal RNA
Source: RNAcentral